UACGUAGGGGGCAAGCGUUGUCCGGAAUCAUUGGGCGUAAAGAGCGUGUAGGCGGCUUCGUAAGUCCGUUGUGAAAGUCCAGGGCUCAACCCUGGAAUGCCGAUGGAUACUGCGGAGCUAGAGUACGGAAGAGGCGAGUGGAAUUCCUGGUGUAGCGGUGAAAUGCGCAGAUAUCAGGAGGAACACCUAUGGCGAAGGCAGCUCGCUGGGACGUUACUGACGCUGAGACGCGAAAGCGUGGGGAGCAAACAGG
Molecule: ribosomal RNA, 253 nt
Filed under: uncultured bacterium
Lineage: Bacteria
Description: partial 16S ribosomal RNA
Rfam family: Bacterial small subunit ribosomal RNA
Source: RNAcentral